UACGUAGGGGUCGAGCGUUGUCCGGAGUUACUGGGCGUAAAGCGUGCGCAGGCGGCUCAUUGCGCCCGGCGUGAAAGCCCCCGGCUCAACCGGGGAGGGUCGUCGGGGACGGGUGAGCUUGAGGGUAUCAGGGGUUGGUGGAAUUCCCGGUGUAGUGGUGAAAUGCGUAGAUAUCUGGAGGAACACCGGUGGCGAAGGCGGCAUCCUGGACCGAUAUUGACGCUGAUGCGCGAAAGCCAGGGGAGCAAACGGG
RNAcentral lists this ribosomal RNA (253 nucleotides) under uncultured bacterium. RNAcentral describes it as "partial 16S ribosomal RNA". It matches the Rfam family "Bacterial small subunit ribosomal RNA", at positions 524 to 776 of the family's 1533-position model. The record is from RNAcentral.